Molecule: ribosomal RNA, 325 nt
Filed under: Helicobacter pylori
Lineage: Bacteria; Pseudomonadati; Campylobacterota; Epsilonproteobacteria; Campylobacterales; Helicobacteraceae
Description: bacterial LSU rRNA
Rfam family: Bacterial large subunit ribosomal RNA
Source: RNAcentral
AACUCGUAAGAGAGAAGUAUAAGGUAGUGACGCCUGCCCGGUGCUCGAAGGUUAAGAGGAUGCGUCAGUCGCAAGAUGAAGCGUUGAAUUGAAGCCCGAGUAAACGGCGGCCGUAACUAUAACGGUCCUAAGGUAGCGAAAUUCCUUGUCGGUUAAAUACCGACCUGCAUGAAUGGCGUAACGAGAUGGGAGCUGUCUCAACCAGAGAUUCAGUGAAAUUGUAGUGGAGGUGAAAAUUCCUCCUACCCGCGGCAAGACGGAAAGACCCCGUGGACCUUUACUACAACUUAGCACUGCUAAUGGGAAUAUCAUGCGCAGGAUAGGU